Oreochromis aureus is the source of this 733-nucleotide long non-coding RNA. Lineage: Eukaryota; Metazoa; Chordata; Actinopteri; Cichliformes; Cichlidae. The record is from Ensembl.
GGCAUCUGUAUCUUCUGUGAGAGGCCGUAAAGCCAAACUGCCCGCAAUGAUUCUUGACAGGCCUAAGAAGGCCAAAACUAAAGUAACGGUGUUUAGUGUUCUGAGUGAAGAGGAGGCUGGGGAGCUAGCCCUCGGGUUUGCCGGAAGAUUGGCCUGCGAUGUCACAAGAGACAUGGUCUGUAAAGGCAUCGACCAUUCAAGUGCUGAUAUGACAAAACACACUCUUCGCAAAAUCCAACACAACCUUAAACAGGAACUGACUGAUUCCUCAACUUUCAGUUUGCUGACACACACCUUUGGCCCUGCUGCACUGGAUUCUGUCAUUUCUUUCCUGUGUGAAAAACUGGAUCUUGUCUCUUAAAUAAUAAAACCUUUUGUGACUUUUGUUUGUUCUGUAAAUCAGAAUCUUGAAAAUUGUUCACUGUUGUUUUAAGUUUGUAUUAAGUUAACUACUUGGCAAAAAUGUUUGGUUCCUAAUCCAAACAGCAUAAUGACUGUUCUAACACAUAUCUUAAAAAUGCUACAAAGAAAGAAAAUUAUCACAUAUGUUUCAAUAUGAAUGUAAUUGUGUCACACUCGGUUUGUAGUAGCUUUCCUGUUUUAUUUUGUGAGUUUUGGUAUGUUUACACUGUUGUCAUUUUUAUUUCCAUUGUGUUCGUCUUCCCUUAUUAGUUUUACUUUAUUUAAUUAGUCUGAUUUAAUAACUUAUAAUUAUUUACUUUCCAGUGUGUAU